RNAcentral lists this ribosomal RNA (257 nucleotides) under uncultured bacterium. RNAcentral describes it as "partial 16S ribosomal RNA". It matches the Rfam family "Bacterial small subunit ribosomal RNA", at positions 524 to 776 of the family's 1533-position model. The record is from RNAcentral.
UACGAAGGGUGCAAGCGUUACUCGGAAUUACUGGGCGUAAAGCGUGCGUAGGUGGUGAGUUAAGUCUGUCGUGAAAGCCCCGGGCUCAACCUGGGAAUGGCGAUGGAUACUGGCUCGCUAGAAUGCGGUAGAGGAGAGUGGAAUUCCCGGUGUAGCAGUGAAAUGCGUAGAGAUCGGGAGGAACAUCAGUUGCGGAAGGCGGCUCUCUGGACCAGCACUGACACUGAGGCACGGAAAAGCGUGGGGGAGCAAACAGG